This 166-nucleotide ribosomal RNA is filed under the name uncultured bacterium. RNAcentral describes it as "partial 16S ribosomal RNA". It matches the Rfam family "Bacterial small subunit ribosomal RNA", at positions 355 to 512 of the family's 1533-position model. The record is from RNAcentral.
UAGGGAAUCUUCCACAAUGGGCGAAAGCCUGAUGGAGCAACGCCGCGUGUGUGAUGAAGGGUUUCGGCUCGUAAAACACUGUUGGUAGAGAAGAACGUUGGUGAGAGUGGAAAGCUCAUCAAGUGACGGUAACUACCCAGAAAGGGACGGCUAACUACGUACACGA